RNAcentral lists this ribosomal RNA (1452 nucleotides) under Enterococcus faecalis. RNAcentral's name for it is "bacterial SSU rRNA". It matches the Rfam family "Bacterial small subunit ribosomal RNA". The record is from RNAcentral. Lineage: Bacteria; Bacillati; Bacillota; Bacilli; Lactobacillales; Enterococcaceae.
ACCCCCCCGGCCGCCGCCCUACUGCACGCUCGAAUGCUUCUUUUUCACCGGCAGCUUGCUCCACCGGCACAAACAGGAGUGGCGAACGGCUCGAGUAACACGUGGGUAACCUGCCCAUCAGACGCGACACCACUUGGCAAACAGGUGCUAAUACCGUACCCACAAUCGAAACCGCAUGGUUUUGAUUUGAAAGGCGCUUUCGGGUGUCGCUGAUGGAUGGACCCGCGGUGCAUUAGCUAGUUGGUGAGGUAACGGCUCACCAAGGCGACGAUGCAUAGCCGACCUGAGAGGGUGAUCGGCCACAUUGGGACUGAGACACGGCCCAAACUCCUACGGGAGGCAGCAGUAGGGAAUCUUCGGCAAUGGACGAAAGUCUGACCGAGCAACGCCGCGUGAGUGAAGAAGGUUUUCGGAUCGUAAAACUCUGUUGUUAGAGAAGAACAAGGAUGAGAGUAACUGUUCAUCCCUUGACGGUAUCUAACCAGAAAGCCACGGCUAACUACGUGCCAGCAGCCGCGGUAAUACGUAGGUGGCAAGCGUUGUCCGGAUUUAUUGGGCGUAAAGCGAGCGCAGGCGGUUUCUUAAGUCUGAUGUGAAAGCCCCCGGCUCAACCGGGGAGGGUCAUUGGAAACUGGGAGACUUGAGUGCAGAAGAGGAGAGUGGAAUUCCAUGUGUAGCGGUGAAAUGCGUAGAUAUAUGGAGGAACACCAGUGGCGAAGGCGGCUCUCUGGUCUGUAACUGACGCUGAGGCUCGAAAGCGUGGGGAGCAAACAGGAUUAGAUACCCUGGUAGUCCACGCCGUAAACGAUGAGUGCUAAGUGUUGGAGGGUUUCCGCCCUUCAGUGCUGCAGCUAACGCAUUAAGCACUCCGCCUGGGGAGUACGACCGCAAGGUUGAAACUCAAAGGAAUUGACGGGGGCCCGCACAAGCGGUGGAGCAUGUGGUUUAAUUCGAAGCAACGCGAAGAACCUUACCAGGUCUUGACAUCCUUUGACCACUCUAGAGAUAGAGCUUCCCCUUCGGGGGCAAAGUGACAGGUGGUGCAUGGUUGUCGUCAGCUCGUGUCGUGAGAUGUUGGGUUAAGUCCCGCAACGAAGCGCAACCUUUAUUGUUAGUUGCCAUCAUUUAGUUGGGCCCUCUAGCAAGACUGCCGGUGACAAACCGGAAGGAAGGGGGGGGAUGACGUCAAAUCAUCCUGGCCCCUUUUGAACCUGGGCUAACCCCCGGGCUACAAUGGGAAGUUAAACCGAGUCCCAAAGUCCGGAGGGUUAAGCUUAUUCCUUAAAGCUUUCCCCCACUUCGGAAUUGAGGGCUCCACCUCCCCCCACUUAAAACCCGGAAAUCCCUUAAAAAUCCGGGAAAAAACCCCGCCCCGGGGGAAAAAAUUUCCCGGGCCUUUGAAACCCCCGCCCCGCCCACCCCCAAAAAUUUUGUAACCCCCCCAAUCCUGGG